Molecule: ribosomal RNA, 497 nt
Filed under: uncultured bacterium
Lineage: Bacteria
Description: partial 16S ribosomal RNA
Rfam family: Bacterial small subunit ribosomal RNA
Source: RNAcentral
GAUGAACGCUGGCGGCGUGCCUAAUACAUGCAAGUCGAGCGAACGGACGAGAAGCUUGCUUUUCUGAUGUUAGCGGCGGACGGGUGAGUAACACGUGGAUAACCUACCUAUAAGACUGGGAUAACUUCGGGAAACCGGAGCUAAUACCGGAUAAUAUUUUGAACCGCAUGGUUCAAAAGUGAAAGACGGUCUUGCUGUCACUUAUAGAUGGAUCCGCGCUGCAUUAGCUAGUUGGUAAGGUAACGGCUUACCAAGGCAACGAUGCAUAGCCGACCUGAGAGGGUGAUCGCCCACACUGGAACUGGAACAGGGUCCAGACUCCUACGGGAGGCAGCAGUAGGGAAUCUUCCGCAAUGGGCGAAAGCCUGCCGGAGCAACGCCGCGUGAGUGAUGAAGGUCUUCGGAUCGUAAAACUCUGUUAUUAGGGAAGAACAUAUGUGUAAGUAACUGUGCACAUCUUGACGGUACCUAAUCAGAAAGCCACGGCUAACUACGUG